Molecule: non-coding RNA, 93 nt
Organism: Xylariomycetidae sp. FL2044
Lineage: Eukaryota; Fungi; Ascomycota; Sordariomycetes
Source: the annotation of a GenBank genome assembly
ACCCCCGUGGCCUAAUGGUUAAGGCUUUGAACUUCUAUUCACAACACUGAAUACGAGAUUCAAGGAUUGUGGGUUCGAGUCCCACCGGGGGUU